GGCUACUACAUCCAAGGAAGGCAGCAGGCGCGCAAAUUACCCAAUCCCGAUACGGGGAGGUAGUGACAAUAAAUACUGAUACAGGGCUCUUUUGGGUCUUGUAAUUGGAAUGAGUACAAUUUAAUUCCCUUAACGAGGAACAAUUGGAGGGCAAGUCUGGUGCCAGCAGCCGCGGUAAUUCCAGCUCCAAUAGCGUAUAUUAAAGUUGUUGCAGUUAAAAAGCUCGUAGUUGAACCUUGGGCCUGGCUGGCCGGUCCGCCUCACCGCGUGCACUGGUCCGGCCGGGCCUUUCCCUCUGGGGAACCGCAUGCCCUUCACUGGGCGUGUCGGGGAACCAGGACUUUUACUUUGAAAAAAUUAGAGUGUUCAAAGCAGGCUUAUGCUCGGAUACAUUAGCAUGGAAUAAUAGAAUAGGACGUGCGGUUCUAUUUUGUUGGUUUCUAGGACCGCCGUAAUGAUUAAUAGGGACAGUCGGGGGCAUCAGU
This 485-nucleotide ribosomal RNA is filed under the name Ophiostoma sp. NFRI 1731/1. Its description in RNAcentral is "SSU rRNA". It matches the Rfam family "Eukaryotic small subunit ribosomal RNA", at positions 405 to 895 of the family's 1831-position model. Lineage: Eukaryota; Fungi; Ascomycota; Sordariomycetes; Ophiostomatales; Ophiostomataceae. RNAcentral also lists the same sequence under 1 other name. The record is from RNAcentral.